UCAAACACUCACAUCCCUCAUUAUGGACGGGUGGAGAUCAGGUUCACGGUGAUGGUGAUGGUGUGAGGGAGACUUGAGAAGAAGGAUCAUAGCUAACUUCCGUUUAGUUUUAACUUGUCUAAACUUGGUCUUUAGAAGUCUUGAUGGUUUAGUUUAUUUCUUAUGUUUUGAGUAUCGACUUGUGUAAAGCUCAGGGGGUUGGUAUAAUGUUUUAGAUGACUUUUCUUUUAAGUAUAGACUCCUGUAAAGAAUAUGUCAUUGGUUUCAUUGAGAAGCUUAGGGAGUAUGUUUAAUGUUGUUGGAUUCACUAACUUUUUAAGAUUGAAGCAUGGAUUAAUCGUUUUGGUUUGGUGUUAUUA
This is a non-coding RNA of Momordica charantia (bitter melon), 359 nucleotides long. The record is from RefSeq and is a predicted model, not a curated record. Lineage: Eukaryota; Viridiplantae; Streptophyta; Magnoliopsida; Cucurbitales; Cucurbitaceae.